RNAcentral lists this transfer RNA (55 nucleotides) under Strongyloides sp. EN-2020a. RNAcentral's name for it is "tRNA-Gly". The record is from RNAcentral. Lineage: Eukaryota; Metazoa; Nematoda; Chromadorea; Rhabditida; Strongyloididae.
GGUUUAUUAGUAUAAUUUAGUAUGUUCGACUUCCAAUCGAGGGGUUAUUAAACUA